UACAGAGGGGGCAAGCGUUGUUCGGAAUUACUGGGCGUAAAGGGCGCGUAGGCGGCCUGCUAAGUUGAACGUGAAAUCCCCGGGCUCAACCCGGGAACUGCGUCCGAUACUGGCAGGCUUGAAUCCGGGAGAGGGAUGUGGAAUUCCAGGUGUAGCGGUGAAAUGCGUAGAUAUCUGGAGGAACACCGGUGGCGAAGGCGGCAUCCUGGACCGGUAUUGACGCUGAUGCGCGAAAGCCAGGGGAGCAAACGGG
RNAcentral lists this ribosomal RNA (253 nucleotides) under uncultured bacterium. RNAcentral describes it as "partial 16S ribosomal RNA". It matches the Rfam family "Bacterial small subunit ribosomal RNA", at positions 524 to 776 of the family's 1533-position model. The record is from RNAcentral.